CGAACGCUGGCGGCGUGCCUAAUACAUGCAAAUCGAACGAGAGCGACCGGUGCUUGCACUGGUCAAUCUAGUGGCGAACGGGUGAGUAACACGUGGGUAACCUGCCCAUCAGAGGGGGAUAACAUCCGGAAACGGAUGCUAAAACCGCAUAGGUCUUCGAACCGCAUGGUUUGAAGAGGAAAAGAGGCGCAAGCUUCUGCUGAUGGAUGGACCCGCGGUGCAUUAGCUAGUUGGUGAGGUAACGGCUCACCAAGGCCGUGAUGCAUAGCCGACCUGAGAGGGUGAUCGGCCACAUUGGGACUGAGACACGGCCCAAACUCCUACGGGAGGCAGCAGUAGGGAAUCUUCCGCAAUGGACGCAAGUCUGACGGAGCAACGCCGCGUGAGUGAAGAAGGUUUUCGGAUCGUAAAACUCUGUUGUUAGAGAAGAACAAGUGCUAGAGUAACUGUUAGCGCCUUGACGGUAUCUAACCAGAAAGCCACGGCUAACUACGUG
Molecule: ribosomal RNA, 496 nt
Filed under: uncultured bacterium
Lineage: Bacteria
Description: partial 16S ribosomal RNA
Rfam family: Bacterial small subunit ribosomal RNA
Source: RNAcentral